This is a long non-coding RNA of Xenia sp. Carnegie-2017, 641 nucleotides long. RefSeq lists it as uncharacterized. Lineage: Eukaryota; Metazoa; Cnidaria; Anthozoa; Malacalcyonacea; Xeniidae. The transcript is spliced from 3 exons. The record is from RefSeq and is a predicted model, not a curated record.
UUUAUCAUUCUUUAUAAUCUGGAGAUUGUCGUAUGUUACUUUUGCCGUGACUUUAUGAGUCCGGGUAUAUUGGUGUAGGAACAAACAAAUUUACUAAGCUUGGUUUAUUCUUAGUUUUAAUUUCUAUUUUUAUUUUAUAAAAAUAAUAUUUUCACUACACCUUGCUACAGCGUUUGGAUAUGGUAUUCAUCAGUACGUAUGGUUGUUAUUGUCAUAACAUGUAGGGGCGGAUCUAGGUUCAUAUAAUAAUGAAACAUAACCGGGUGCAACACAGAAAAAACUGGAUUGCUGCUAAUACAGCUUUAAGAUGCAGUGAUGCAAUGCCUAAUGAUGAUGGCUGUAGUAAUCUGUUCAAUAAUGUUUUUUAUAAUGACCGUGAACAUUCACAACCUUUACAAAAAAUCAACUUGAACCAUUGCCAGUCCUCAACAAAGUUCUUUCUUUUUAAAAGUUGCUCUUAAUGAUUGUGAUAUUGGGGAAAAUGACCGUGCUGUUUCUGGUGAAGUUGAUAUUUUGGAUGUUUCUUUUUGCCAUGGAAAAGCUGAUUUUUAGUGCAUGUGAAUGCAGUCAUUGGGGAAAGAAAGCAGAUACAAGAAGAACAUCAUCGCUUUGUUAGCCCUUUCUGUCACUUGCCUGUUGAU